GAAAGUAAAAAAGGGCGCAUGGCGGAUGCCUUGGCUCUCGGAGGCGAUGAAGGACGUGAUAAGCUGCGAUAAGCUUUGGGGAGGUGCAAAUGACCUUUGAUCCAGAGAUUUCCGAAUGGGACAACCCAAUAUCUUGAAGAGGUAUUAUCCAACGUUGUUGGAGGCUAACGCAGGGAACUGAAACAUCUUAGUACCUGCAGGAAAAGAAAAUAAACAAUGAUUCCCCCAGUAGUGGCGAGCGAACGGGGAACAGCCCAAACCAUCCAUGUUACGGCAUGGGUGGGGUUGUAGGACUACGCCGUUGCAUGAAGACAUCAGAGAAGAACUUUCUGGAAAGAAAGACCAUAGAGCAUGACAGUUGCGUAUUCGAAUGUUGUCGAAGCAUAGUAGUAUCCUGAGUAGCGCGGAGCACGAGGAAUUCUGCGUGAAUCUGCCGGGACCAUCCGGUAAGGCUAAAUACUCCCGAGAGACCGAUAGCGAACCAGUACCGUGAGGGAAAGGUGAAAAGCACUUCGAACAGAAGAGUGAAAUAGUUCCUGAAACCGUGCGCCUACAAGCGGUCGGAGCUCGUUAAUGAGUGACGGCGUGCCUUUUGCAUAAUGAACCUACGAGUUGCCUUUGCCGGCAAGGUUAAGUGUGACGACACACGUAUCCGAAGCGAAAGCGAGUCUGAACAGGGCGUAUAGUCGGCAGUGGCAGACGCGAAACCAAGUGAUCUACCCUUGGCCAGGUUGAAGGCUGGGUAACACCAGCUGGAGGACCGCACCAAUAAGCGUUGAAAAGCUUCUGGAUGAGCUGAGGGUAGGGGUGAAAGGCUAAUCAAACUUGGAGAUAGCUCGUACUCCCCGAAAUGCAUUUAGGUGCAGCCUCGCGGGUUACUGAUGUGAGGUAGAGCGACUGAUUGGAUGCGAGGGCUUCACCGCCUAUCAAGUCCUGACAAACUCCGAAUGCGCAUCAGUUUUACCGCGGGAGUGAGGGCAUGGGUGCUAAGGUCCGUGCCCGAGAGGAGAAGAAUCCGGACUAUCAGCUAAGGCCCCGAAAUGACAGCUAAGUUAAACUAACGAAGUCUGAUUGCUAAGACAGCUAGGAUGUUGGCUUGGAAGCAGCCAUUCAUUUAAAGAGUGCGUAACAGCUCACUAGUCGAGGAGUCGGGCGUGGAUAAUAAUCGGGUAUGAAGUUGUCUACCGAAGCAGUGGGAUCAUUUAUAUGAUCGGUAGGGGAGCAUUCCAGUCGGCGUCGAAGGCGUACCGUGAGGUAUUCUGGAGCGUCUGGAAAAGCAAAUGUAGGUAUAAGUAACGAUAAAGGGGGCGGGAAACCCCCUCGCCGAAAGACUAAGGUUUCCUGAUCAACGCUAAUCGGAUCAGGGUCAGUCGGGUCCUAAGGCUCAGCCGAACGGCGAUGCCGAUGGCAGAAACGGUUAAUAUUCCGUUACUACCUUCAGGAGUGACGUGGAGACGCAGUAGUGACAGUGCCGCCAUCUGACGGAAUAGAUGGUUGAAGGGUGUAGGAGUCGAUCAUGGCAGGCAAAUCCACCAUGAGAUCCGAACCUGACAGUAUGCCGCGUCCUUCGGGACAAGGCAAUAGUGCGCGUAAGCAUGCUGCCGAGAAAAUCCGCUAAACUUAAUCCUGCAGGUACCCGUACCGCAAACGGACACACGUAGUCGGGAUGAAUAUUCUAAGGCGCUUGAGUGAUUCACGGUUAAGGAACUAGGCAAACUGACCCUGUAACUUCGGGAUAAAGGGUCCCUACCCUUUUAUGGGAGGGCGCAGAGAAUCGGUCCAGGCAACUGUUUAACAAAAACACAGGGCUGUGCCAAAUCGAAAGAUCCAGUAUACAGCCUGACACCUGCCCGGUGCUGGAAGGUUAAGAGGAGAUGUCAUCGAUAAGAGAAGCGUUGAAUUGAAGCCCCAGUAAACGGCGGCCGUAACUAUAACGGUCCUAAGGUAGCGAAAUUCCUUGUC
Molecule: ribosomal RNA, 1962 nt
Filed under: human gut metagenome
Description: bacterial LSU rRNA
Rfam family: Bacterial large subunit ribosomal RNA
Source: RNAcentral